Equus asinus (donkey) is the source of this 1689-nucleotide long non-coding RNA. The record is from Ensembl. NCBI's taxonomy places the organism in Eukaryota, Metazoa, Chordata, Mammalia, Perissodactyla, Equidae.
AUUCCCUGUCCUUCAGUGACCUUCCUUCUCUGUUUCCCUACAUCUCUCUGGAGGGAUAUCUGAUUAAUAAUGAGGAGCUGGAGAUUUCUCUGGGCCUGGGAAUGGAGCCAGUAGUUUCCUAUCCAGGGUUGUCAUUGAGAUCGUCUGGGAUCUGCAAAGGAAGAAAAUAGGAGGAAGAGCAAGAAAGUGGAGCAUCAGUGGCUGGAGUCUCCGGCAAAUUGCUGAAGAGCUUCUGUUCUUCGUUUGCUUACGUUCUGGAUCGGGUGUGGACCUUCGGCAGCGUCGUCAGAUACAAAGGGGCCAGGGACAGACUGAAGAGAAAUCCUUGUUGUCUUUCUGUUUGGAGGUAUUUUGUUGUUGUUUGCUUUUUCCAGAACUUUUGUUUCCAUUUAGGCCUUGUGGUGACCCCUAAUGAUCUCGCCCCAGUAUUCCCCUCCUUGCAUCGUUUCCUUCCCACGUUGGGUCAGGAUUUCUCUGUGUGACCAAUAGAGUACAGCAGUGUUGGUUGUAAAAGGCACUGUACUUCUACCUUGCUCUGUGUUUUGGAUGGAUCACCGAUGGAAGCUGGCUGCCAUGAUGUGAAGACUCUUGAGCAGCUCUAUGAAGACGUCUUGGUGGAGGGGGACUGAGAGCUCCAGCCAGGGACUAGGUAAAGCAGAUGCUCCAUUCCCUUCAGAUGAUUGCAGCCACGGCCAGCUCCUGAUGCAACCUCAUGGAGAGGCUCUGAGUCAGAACACCCACCCUGGUAGCCUUCCUGAGUGGCGCUGGCGUGAUUUCAGGGCUGGAAGCAAGCAUAAACAAGAAAUGAGUCAGCUUUUCUCAGCCCGUGAGAAUUAUCAACACCAACAUGAUUCUGAAGGCAUCAGGGGAAGAAGAUGUAUCUCUUUAUCACGUGUUUAUCCUGCUGCUUUUCGUAUUAAUAUUGACUGUGAUAAUUACCUGCUUUCUUUCUCCCAAAUUCACAUCACGUAUUAAUAAGAAGAAAAUAUAAGUAUAUUUUUUUCCUUUUCUCAUAUAAACAUACUGAUGUAUAGAACUAUACCAUAACAUAAUGGUCUAUGAAGGAAGAGGAGCCCUGGGAAUAGAUAAAAAAGAUAAAAAGUCUAUAAAGUAAGAGACAUUGUGAAGAGAAAGAGGAAAUAAUGGCAGUCUCUGCCUUUGAAGUGAAUUGACUGCCCUGUCCUUGAGUCGAGAAUUUUGUGAUAUGAGCCAAAGUGGAAAUAUGGGCUUGGCAUGACCCUUGGGUUUUCAGAAGAUAGCAUCUGAAGCAGGCGAGGAUGCAAAUACCCUUCCUGACCUUGUAUAUAGAUAUCAUACAGCAUUUUUGGUUCCUGGUACUUCUUUAAGCAGCUUUAUCUUAAGAGUGCUUGCCUAGUAUUUCAGAUACUCUUAGAAUCGAUAGGAGAUUUCCAUUUCCACGAUGUUAUUUUGACUGCUGGGCAGCAACUAGAGAGAAGGAAGAAAAGGAAGGAAGCAGGGAGACCGUUUAGGAGGCUAUUGAAAUAAUCCAGAUGAGAGAUGACAGCGUCUUGGAAUAGAGUGGGGAUGGGUUGCCAAAGAGAAUUGAAGUCCGAAGAUUAAAUCUCUGAAAUUCAGAGUCUCAAGUCCAUAAUCAAAUCCUCUGGCCCUGUGGGCUGAUUUCACAGGAAUCAAAGUCCGGAAUUCACCAACCUCCCCACCUUCCGGUUC